UACGGAGGGGACUAGCGUUGUUCGGAAUUACUGGGCGUAAAGCGCACGUAGGCGGAUUUGUAAGUCAGGGGUGAAAUCCCGGGGCUCAACCCCGGAACUGCCUUUGAUACUGCGAAUCUCGAGUCCGGAAGAGGUGAGUGGAAUUCCUAGUGUAGAGGUGAAAUUCGUAGAUAUUAGGAAGAACACCAGUGGCGAAGGCGGCGCACUGGUCCGGUACUGACGCUGAGGUGCGAAAGCGUGGGGAGCAAACAGG
Molecule: ribosomal RNA, 253 nt
Filed under: uncultured bacterium
Lineage: Bacteria
Description: partial 16S ribosomal RNA
Rfam family: Bacterial small subunit ribosomal RNA
Source: RNAcentral